GUGGGGAAUAUUGGACAAUGGGCGAAAGCCUGAUCCAGCCAUGCCGCGUGUGUGAAGAAGGUCUUCGGAUUGUAAAGCACUUUAAGUUGGGAGGAAGGGCAGUAAGUUAAUACCUUGCUGUUUUGACGUUACCGACAGAAUAAGCACCGGCUAACUUCGUGCCAGCAGCCGCGGUAAUACGAAGGGUGCAAGCGUUAAUCGGAAUUACUGGGCGUAAAGCGCGCGUAGGUGGUUUUGUAAGUUGGAGGUGAAAUCCCCGGGCUCAACCUGGGAACUGCCUCCAAAACUGCAUGACUUGAGUACGGUAGAGGGUAGUGGAAUUUCCUGUGUAGCGGUGAAAUGCGUAGAUAUAGGAAGGAACACCAGUGGCGAAGGCGACUACCUGGACUGAUACUGACACUGAGGUGCGAAAGCGUGGGGAGCAAACAGGAUUAGAAACCCGUGUAGUCC
RNAcentral lists this ribosomal RNA (450 nucleotides) under uncultured bacterium. RNAcentral's name for it is "partial 16S ribosomal RNA". It matches the Rfam family "Bacterial small subunit ribosomal RNA", at positions 354 to 796 of the family's 1533-position model. The record is from RNAcentral.